This is a non-coding RNA of Oryctolagus cuniculus (rabbit), 2265 nucleotides long. The record is from the annotation of a RefSeq genome assembly. Lineage: Eukaryota; Metazoa; Chordata; Mammalia; Lagomorpha; Leporidae.
UUCAGGGUUGGAGAAAGGGGAGGGUGGAGGACUAGUGAUCUGAUUGGCUGCCACAAAGAGGCCUCUGCUCUUUUGCUGAGAUCAACCUGGGGAGCAGCAAGUGGUAUUCUAGCCAGCAAAGUCUCUUGAAGGGGCCACUAAAGUCAGUGACUGUGGCUACCACGUGGGAAGAAGAAAAGAUGUCCCUGAAGCUUUUCGUGCAGAUUGUCUGGAUUCAAAUGGCAUGGCUGAGCACUCAGCAGCUGGGGCAGAUUCCUCUGUUUCUGAGCACCCGGGAGGGAGAAGAUGUCACUGUGUACUGCAACUCCUCGAGCGUGUUCACUACCUUUCAGUGGUACAAACAGGAGCCUGGGAAAGGGCCUGUCCUCCUGAUGAUGAUGGCCAAGGGCGGAGAAGUGAAGAAAGAGAAGAGACUGACUGUUCAAUUUGGUGAUACAAGGAAGUACAGUUCCUUGCACAUCACUGCGACCCAGCCUGGGGAUGAAGGCAACUACAUCUGUGCAGGAGCACAGUGCUCUCAGGGCACCUGCUGCCUGUACCCAAACCCCACUGCAGGCCCCACUCACACUACUGCCACCUGCUUCCAGCCUCUCCCCAACACACCUCUUGGCAUGAACAAUGGCAGCAAGUUCAGCCCUUCAUGAAGGCUGCCUUUCUGGACAUUUCCCACAUUCUCUGCAGAACAAGACCCAUCUACUAUAAGACAAGUCUCUGGAAAUGUGGCUCACUCCAAAUCAGAAGCAACUUGGGCAGACAGCUUCCAAGGGUAGGUAAUGAGCUGGAGUAGGGAGUCAACAUUCAAGGACAAAUGAAAGAUACCAGACAGAGUAUACCAUAGUUCUGCUUGGUCACUCCAUAUUCCUAAAGACCAAAGCCAGGGGGCCAGCGCUGUGGCUCACUUGGUUAAUCCUCUGCCUAUGGCGCCAGCAUCCCAUAGGGGUGUCAGUUCUAGUCCCGGUUGCUCCUCUUCCAAUCCAGCUCUCUGCUGUGGCCCGGGAAGGCAGUGGAGGAUGGCCCAAGUGCUUGGGCCCCUGCACCUGCAUGGGAGACCAGGAAGAAGCACCUGGCUCCUGGCUUCGGAUUAGCAUAGCGGCCAUUUGGGGGGUGAACUAAUGAAAGGAAGACCUUUCUCUGUCUCUCUCUCUCUGUCUCACUCUCUAACUCUAUCUGUCAAAUAAAUUUUAAAAACAACAACAAUAAAGACCAAAGCCAGAAUGAAUAGUUCACACAAUGGGAUAGAAACAGAUGGUUUCACAGUUUGAUUCUAGUAUUCUGGACAUGACAGAACUUCUGUGUAUUAAGCUGUAGUAAAAAGCAGAAGUAAACCAAAAAUAAUUAGAAGUAAGUUACGGUUUUUGUUUAAGAGAUGCCCAAAGUGUACUUCAAUAUAAUCUAGUUGUGAUUCCAAAACAGUUUCCUUCAUUGGUGGCUCUGAGAGUCCCUAAACAUUAACUAUAGGGGCCUACAGCUGCACAGGGUUUGUUUGUGCCUUUGGCUUUGAAUGGCAGCUUCCAGUAACUUCAAGUUUCCAAGGCUGAGCUGAAGAAGAUAGAAGUUACCCGUUUCCUCCACAUGGCACUGUUCCAUUUAUGUACCAGAAGAAUUUCUAUUCUGUAAGGCAAGAUAAUAGGUAGUGCAAAGCACAAAACCCAAGUUAAAAUUCUAUCUUUAAAUCUUUCCAACUUUGGAACUGGCAUUAUGACACAGUGGAUUAAAUUGUUGCCUGCAACUGACCUGGCCUAUCCCUGGUCUUUGUGGCCAUUUGUAGGGUAAACCAGCAUUUGGAAGAUCCCUUUCUCUCUGUUUCUCCAAUUCUCUGUCACUCCACCUUUCAAAUUAAUAGAUCAUUUUUAAAAAAGCUUUUUAGCUUUAUGUGCUUAGGCUAUUAUUUUCCUUACCUACUUUACCUUAUAAAUGAAUGUUAGGAGCCAGCCCUGUGGAGCAGCAGGUUAAAGCUCCGUCCUGCAGCGCCAGCAUCCCAUGUGGAUGUCAGUUCUAGUCCCGGAUGUUCCACUUCAAUCUGGCUACCUGCUAAUGCACCUGGGAAAGCGAGGAGGUUGGCCCAAGUCCUUGGGUCCCUGCACCCAUGUAGAAGACCUGGAAGAAGCUCCUGGCUCCUGGCUUUGGAUUAACUUAGCUCCAGCCAUUGCGACUAUUUGGGGAGUGAACCAGCAGAUCGAAGAUCUCUUUCUCUGUGUCUCUACCUCUUUAUAACUCUUUCAAAUAAAUAAAUGCCAACAAGAAUAGCUAUCUAUCUUGUUGAGA